RNAcentral lists this ribosomal RNA (658 nucleotides) under Lysobacter sp. TRS-46. Its description in RNAcentral is "bacterial SSU rRNA". It matches the Rfam family "Bacterial small subunit ribosomal RNA", at positions 45 to 682 of the family's 1533-position model. The record is from RNAcentral. Lineage: Bacteria; Pseudomonadati; Pseudomonadota; Gammaproteobacteria; Lysobacterales; Lysobacteraceae.
GGCCUGACACAUAGCAUUCCCCAGCGGCAAAAAGGGUAGUAGCAAUACAUUCCCGCGGCGAGCGGAGAGACGGGUGAGGAAUGCGUCGGAAUCUCGCCUCUUUGUGGGGGAUAACGUAGGGAAACUUACGCUAAUACCGCAUACGACCUACGGGUGAAAGUGGGGGACCUUCGGGCCUCACGCAGAGAGAUGAGCCGACGCCGGAUUAGCUAGUUGGCGGGGUAAAGGCCCACCAAGGCGACGAUCCGUAGCUGGUCUGAGAGGAUGAUCAGCCACACUGGAACUGAGACACGGUCCAGACUCCUACGGGAGGCAGCAGUGGGGAAUAUUGGACAAUGGGCGCAAGCCUGAUCCAGCCAUGCCGCGUGUGUGAAGAAGGCCUUCGGGUUGUAAAGCACUUUUGUCCGGAAAGAAAAGCCUAGGGAUAAUACCCUUGGGUUAUGACGGUACCGGAAGAAUAAGCACCGGCUAACUUCGUGCCAGCAGCCGCGGUAAUACGAAGGGUGCAAGCGUUACUCGGAAUUACUGGGCGUCAAAGCGUGCGUAGGUGGUUCGUUAAGUCUGAUGUGAAAAGCCCUGGGCUCGACCUGGGAAUGGCAUUUGGAUACUGGCGACCUAUAGUGCGGUAUAAGGGUAGCGGAAUUCCCCGUGUAGCAAA